GACGAACGCUGGCGGCGUGCUUAACACAUGCAAGUCGAACGGAAAGGCCCUGCUUUUGGGGGGUGCUCGAGUGGCGAACGGGUGAGUAACACGUGAGUAACCUGCCCUUGACUUUGGGAUAACUUCAGGAAACUGGGGCUAAUACCGGAUAGGAGCUCCUGCUGCAUGGGGGGGGUUGGAAAGUUUCGGCGGUUGGGGAUGGACUCGCGGCUUAUCAGCUUGUUGGUGGGGUAGUGGCUUACCAAGGCUUUGACGGGUAGCCGGCCUGAGAGGGUGACCGGCCACAUUGGGACUGCGAUACGGCCCAGACUCCUACGGGAGGCAGCAGUGGGGAAUAUUGCACAAUGGGCGGAAGCCUGAUGCAGCAACGCCGCGUGCGGGAUGACGGCCUUCGGGUUGUAAACCGCUUUCGCCUGUGACGAAGCGUGAGUGACGGUAAUGGGUAAAGAAGCACCGGCUAACUACGUG
This 468-nucleotide ribosomal RNA is filed under the name uncultured bacterium. RNAcentral's name for it is "partial 16S ribosomal RNA". It matches the Rfam family "Bacterial small subunit ribosomal RNA", at positions 28 to 507 of the family's 1533-position model. The record is from RNAcentral.